AUGUGUAACUGGGUCUAUAUUGUUGUAUAUUUUCACAAAAUGUUUUCUUUAAUUUAUUUGUCCUCUUAUACUUGUCUGUCUUUGUGUUCCUCUGUGUCUGCUAUGAGGGGUUUGGUCCUCCAGCUCCGCCCUACUUUCUUCUUCUUUUGUUUGGGGUCCUCCAGCACCAUUAUAAAUGUUAAGUUGUUCAUUUCCUCUUCCCUUUUGUUACUCGUUCCACUGGGAAGAGGCAAGUUUUAUAAUCUAUUGUAAUCCUUUCAUUUAUAUUGUCCAAAUGUUUAUUUUUUUUCUUCUGUAUUAAUGUUAGGUGUUUUAAUAUUUUUAUUCGAGUUGCUAUUAUGCAUUUAUAAGAUUUGAUGCAUGCUAACAUUAUGAUUUUGUAUAGAUCGGGUUGGAGAACUGGAGCACAUGCUACGUGCUAAUGCUAAUAUCUCCCGAUUGACAGGCUGAAUAAACGGAGUCCUCCUCCAAACCCAGA
Long non-coding RNA from Xiphophorus hellerii (green swordtail), 478 nucleotides. RefSeq lists it as uncharacterized. The transcript has 2 exons. The record is from RefSeq and is a predicted model, not a curated record. NCBI's taxonomy places the organism in Eukaryota, Metazoa, Chordata, Actinopteri, Cyprinodontiformes, Poeciliidae.